GACGAACGCUGGCGGCGUGCUUAACACAUGCAAGUCGAGCGGUAAGGCCCUUCGGGCUACACGAGCGGCGAACGGGGGAGUAACACGUGAGUAAUCUGCCCAUCACUUCGGGAUAACUCCGGGAAACCGGUGCUAAUACCGAAUAUGACCACUUCAGGCAUCUGAUGGUGGUGGAAAGGUCCGGCGGUGUUGGAUGAGCUCGCGGCCUAUCAGCUUGUUGGUGGGGUAGGGGCCUACCAAGGCUUCGACGGGUAGCCGGCCUGGGAGGGUGACCGGCCACACUGGUCCUGCGACACGGCCCAGACUCCUACGGGAGGCAGCAGUGGGGAAUAUUGGACAAUGGGCGCAAGCCUGAUCCAGCAACGCCGCGUGAGGGAUGACGGCCUUCGGGUUGUAAACCUCUUUCAGCAGGGACGAAGCGCAAGUGACGGUACCUGCAGAAGAAGCACCGGCCAACUACGUG
RNAcentral lists this ribosomal RNA (463 nucleotides) under uncultured bacterium. RNAcentral describes it as "partial 16S ribosomal RNA". It matches the Rfam family "Bacterial small subunit ribosomal RNA", at positions 28 to 507 of the family's 1533-position model. The record is from RNAcentral.